GGGUUGUGAGGUUAAGCGACUAAGCGUACACGGUGGAUGCCCUGGCAGUCAGAGGCGAUGAAGGACGUGCUAAUCUGCGAAAAGCGUCGGUAAGGUGAUAUGAACCGUUAUAACCGGCGAUGUCCGAAUGGGGAAACCCAGUGUGAUUCGUCACACUAUCGUUAACUGAAUACAUAGGUUAACGAGGCGAACCGGGGGAACUGAAACAUCUAAGUACCCCGAGGAAAAGAAAUCAACCGAGAUUCCCCCAGUAGCGGCGAGCGAACGGGGAGCAGCCCAGAGUCUGAAUCAGCUUGUGUGUUAGUGGAACGGUCUGGAAAGUCCGACGGUACAGGGUGAUAGUCCCGUACACCAAAAUGCACAGGUUGUGAACUCGAAGAGUAGGGCGGGACACGUGGUAUCCUGUCUGAAUAUGGGGGGACCAUCCUCCAAGGCUAAAUACUCCUGACUGACCGAUAGUGAACCAGUACCGUGAGGGAAAGGCGAAAAGAACCCCGGCGAGGGGAGUGAAAAAGAACCUGAAACCGUGUACGUACAAGCAGUGGGAGCACCUUCGGGUGUGACUGCGUACCUUUUGUAUAAUGGGUCAGCGACUUAUAUUCUGUAGCAAGGUUAACCGUAUAGGGGAGCCGCAGGGAAACCGAGUCUUAACUGGGCGUUAAGUUGCAGGGUAUAGACCCGAAACCCGGUGAUCUAGCCAUGGGCAGGUUGAAGGUUGGGUAACACUAACUGGAGGACCGAACCGACUAAUGUUGAAAAAUUAGCGGAUGACUUGUGGCUGGGGGUGAAAGGCCAAUCAAACCGGGAGAUAGCUGGUUCUCCCCGAAAGCUAUUUAGGUAGCGCCUCGUGAACUCAUCUUCGGGGGUAGAGCACUGUUUCGGCUAGGGGGUCAUCCCGACUUACCAACCCGAUGCAAACUACGAAUACCGAAGAAUGUUAUCACGGGAGACACACGGCGGGUGCUAACGUCCGUCGUGAAGAGGGAAACAACCCAGACCGCCAGCUAAGGUCCCAAAGUCAUGGUUAAGUGGGAAACGAUGUGGGAAGGCACAGACAGCCAGGAUGUUGGCUUAGAAGCAGCCAUCAUUUAAAGAAAGCGUAAUAGCUCACUGGUCGAGUCGGCCUGCGCGGAAGAUGUAACGGGGCUAAACCAUGCACCGAAGCUGCGGCAGCGACACUAUGUGUUGUUGGGUAGGGGAGCGUUCUGUAAGCCUGCGAAGGUGUGCUGUGAGGCAUGCUGGAGGUAUCAGAAGUGCGAAUGCUGACAUAAGUAACGAUAAAGCGGGUGAAAAGCCCGCUCGCCGGAAGACCAAGGGUUCCUGUCCAACGUUAAUCGGGGCAGGGUGAGUCGACCCCUAAGGCGAGGCCGAAAGGCGUAGUCGAUGGGAAACAGGUUAAUAUUCCUGUACUUGGUGUUACUGCGAAGGGGGGACGGAGAAGGCUAUGUUAGCCGGGCGACGGUUGUCCCGGUUUAAGCAUGUAGGCUGGUUGUCCAGGCAAAUCCGGAUAAUCAAGGCUGAGGUGUGAUGACGAGGCACUACGGUGCUGAAGUAACAAAUGCCCUGCUUCCAGGAAAAGCCUCUAAGCAUCAGGUAACAUCAAAUCGUACCCCAAACCGACACAGGUGGUCAGGUAGAGAAUACCAAGGCGCUUGAGAGAACUCGGGUGAAGGAACUAGGCAAAAUGGUGCCGUAACUUCGGGAGAAGGCACGCUGGUGUGUAGGUGAAGUCCCUGCGGAUGGAGCUGAGACCAGUCGAAGAUACCAGCUGGCUGCAACUGUUUAUUAAAAACACAGCACUGUGCAAACACGAAAGUGGACGUAUACGGUGUGACGCCUGCCCGGUGCCGGAAGGUUAAUUGAUGGGGUUAUCCGUAAGGAGAAGCUCUUGAUCGAAGCCCCGGUAAACGGCGGCCGUAACUAUAACGGUCCUAAGGUAGCGAAAUUCCUUGUCGGGUAAGUUCCGACCUGCACGAAUGGCGUAAUGAUGGCCAGGCUGUCUCCACCCGAGACUCAGUGAAAUUGAACUCGCUGUGAAGAUGCAGUGUACCCGCGGCAAGACGGAAAGACCCCGUGAACCUUUACUAUAGCUUGACACUGAACAUUGAGCCUUGAUGUGUAGGAUAGGUGGGAGGCUUUGAAGCGUGGACGCCAGUCUGCGUGGAGCCAACCUUGAAAUACCACCCUUUAAUGUUUGAUGUUCUAACGUUGGCCCCUGACCGGGGUUGCGGACAGUGUCUGGUGGGUAGUUUGACUGGGGCGGUCUCCUCCCAAAGCGUAACGGAGGAGCACGAAGGUUAGCUAAUCCUGGUCGGACAUCAGGAGGUUAGUGCAAUGGCAUAAGCUAGCUUGACUGCGAGCGUGACGGCGCGAGCAGGUGCGAAAGCAGGUCAUAGUGAUCCGGUGGUUCUGAAUGGAAGGGCCAUCGCUCAACGGAUAAAAGGUACUCCGGGGAUAACAGGCUGAUACCGCCCAAGAGUUCAUAUCGACGGCGGUGUUUGGCACCUCGAUGUCGGCUCAUCACAUCCUGGGGCUGAAGUAGGUCCCAAGGGUAUGGCUGUUCGCCAUUUAAAGUGGUACGCGAGCUGGGUUUAGAACGUCGUGAGACAGUUCGGUCCCUAUCUGCCGUGGGCGCUGGAGAAUUGAGGGGGGCUGCUCCUAGUACGAGAGGACCGGAGUGGACGCAUCACUGGUGUUCGGGUUGUCAUGCCAAUGGCACUGCCCGGUAGCUAAAUGCGGAAGAGAUAAGUGCUGAAAGCAUCUAAGCACGAAACUUGCCCCGAGAUGAGUUCUCCCUGAGACUUUAAGUCUCCUGAAGGAACGUUAAAGACGAUGACGUUGAUAGGCCGGGUGUGUAAGCGCAGCGAUGCGUUGAGCUAACCGGUACUAAUGAACCGUGAGGCUUAACCUUACAACGCCGAAG
Molecule: ribosomal RNA, 2923 nt
Filed under: Klebsiella pneumoniae
Lineage: Bacteria; Pseudomonadati; Pseudomonadota; Gammaproteobacteria; Enterobacterales; Enterobacteriaceae
Description: 23S ribosomal RNA
Rfam family: Bacterial large subunit ribosomal RNA
Source: RNAcentral